Molecule: ribosomal RNA, 484 nt
Filed under: uncultured bacterium
Lineage: Bacteria
Description: partial 16S ribosomal RNA
Rfam family: Bacterial small subunit ribosomal RNA
Source: RNAcentral
AUUGAACGCUGGCGGCAGGCCUAACACAUGCAAGUCGAGCGGAUGAAGGGAGCUUGCUCCUGGAUUCAGCGGCGGACGGGUGAGUAAUGCCUAGGAAUCUGCCUGGUAGUGGGGGAUAACGUCCGGAAACGGGCGCUAAUACCGCAUACGUCCUGAUGGAGAAAGUGGGGGAUCUUCGGACCUCACGCUAUCAGAUGAGCCUAGGUCGGAUUAGCUAGUUGGUGGGGUAAAGGCCUACCAAGGCGACGAUCCGUAACUGGUCUGAGAGGAUGAUCAGUCACACUGGAACUGAGACACGGUCCAGACUCCUACGGGAGGCAGCAGUGGGGAAUAUUGGACAAUGGGCGAAAGCCUGAUCCAGCCAUGCCGCGUGUGUGAAGAAGGUCUUCGGAUUGUAAAGCACUUUAAGUUGGGAGGAAGGGCAGUAAGUUAAUACCUUGCUGUUUUGACGGUACCAAAAGAAUAAGCACCGGCUAACUUCGUG